CAUGCAGUCGAGCGGUAACAUUUCAAAAGCUUGCUUUUGAAGAUGACGAGCGGCGGACGGGUGAGUAAUGCCUGGGAAUUUGCCCAUUUGUGGGGGAUAACAGUUGGAAACGACUGCUAAUACCGCAUACGCCCUACGGGGGAAAGCAGGGGACCUUCGGGCCUUGCGCUGAUGGAUAAGCCCAGGUGGGAUUAGCUAGUAGGUGAGGUAAAGGCUCACCUAGGCGACGAUCCCUAGCUGGUCUGAGAGGAUGAUCAGCCACACUGGGACUGAGACACGGCCCAGACUCCUACGGGAGGCAGCAGUGGGGAAUAUUGCACAAUGGGGGAAACCCUGAUGCAGCCAUGCCGCGUGUGUGAAGAAGGCCUUCGGGUUGUAAAGCACUUUCAGCGAGGAGGAAAGGGUGUAAGUUAAUACCUUACAUCUGUGACGUUACUCGCAGAAGAAGCACCGGCUAACUCCGUGCCAGCAGCCGCGGUAAUACGGAGGGUGCGAGCGUUAAUCGGAAUUACUGGGCGUAAAGCGUGCGCAGGCGGUUUGUUAAGCGAGAUGUGAAAGCCCCGGGCUCAACCUGGGAACCGCAUUUCGAACUGGCAAACUAGAGUCUUGUAGAGG
RNAcentral lists this ribosomal RNA (615 nucleotides) under Shewanella algae. Its description in RNAcentral is "bacterial SSU rRNA". It matches the Rfam family "Bacterial small subunit ribosomal RNA", at positions 54 to 657 of the family's 1533-position model. Lineage: Bacteria; Pseudomonadati; Pseudomonadota; Gammaproteobacteria; Alteromonadales; Shewanellaceae. The record is from RNAcentral.